GCCACGUGGCAGUGGGAGCCAGGCUGGAGUCCGCUGGUGGAAGACAGGACACAGGCUGGAAAGGAAAACCCAACACGAUGACUGCCCCUCGCAGGCCACAGUCAGCCCGGCCCCAGGAGAGAGACCCGUGGAGCCCUAUGUCUCAGCAGGCAAGACCACCCUGGCCUGCCAUGCCUCCAUCCUAUGCCUAUAAAAACCCAAGACCCUAGCAAGGCAGAGACAGAAGCCUCUGUGUGGGGAGAGGAACACACUGGUGGAAGAAGACAAGCUGCUGGACAUCCCGAGAAUGUUGCCUGACUCCAGGGGAAAACCAUCUCCCCUCUGGCUCCCCCAUCUGCUGAGAGCUACUUCCACUCAAUAAA
This 362-nucleotide long non-coding RNA is filed under the name Homo sapiens (human). RNAcentral describes it as "HSALNT0404968". The record is from RNAcentral. Lineage: Eukaryota; Metazoa; Chordata; Mammalia; Primates; Hominidae.